AGAUGCUUAUUUCUCAGAGUUCUAGAGUCUAGGAAGUCCAAGAUCAAGGCACUGGCAGAUUCAGCGUCCGGUUUGUAGAGUUACUCUUUGUUAGAAAAUGCACGAGGCCAGGCUAGGUGAAAAGGAGUUUAUUUUCAACAUCUGCACGUAGACGGGCUGAGUCCCAGAUGGCAGCAGCCCUGACAUGACAAGUGUUCAGGGAUCUGGGCAGCCUCCCCGCCCACCCAAAGGGGGUAUGGGACUAUCUUGCAUAAGCUGGAAAUACCUCAAAAUAGCCCGAUACCGAGUUUUGGCUGUUUCACACAAGGGCCCCAAAGUGGGGGAAGGAUUGAGGGUCCAAAGGUCGAGCGCCCAUGGAAUUUUCCACUGGCCCUCUGAAUUCAGCCUAACUCUCCAGCCUUUUGCUUUUAUGGAAUGAGGAGAACGUCUCCUCUUCUGUAAUUGCUUCCUGCUGAACAGGGACCUUGGCAGGAGGGGCAGGCAGCCAUGGUAGGCUGCGGGAGCCAACUGGCCGUCCCAUGGGCCGUGUGCGGGAAGGACAGAGAGCGGCUUGGGACUUGCUGUGGGUGUCGGUGCCUGUGGGGCCUGCGACGGCCCCGGCAACGUGGGAGCCGGCUGAAGGGUGGCUGGGAACCCGCUGGGGUGUUCUCUCACUGUUUCGGACACUGGCUGGGGAAGGAGCUGUGCUGGGUUUUCCCUUGCGAGGAGGGUGUAGGAAGAGGGGUCCUUCAGGGGGAUCUGGACUGGCCCGUGGUGUGGCUACGGAGGGAGCAGCGUGUCCCGGACUACAGGGUGAACCAGAGAGGAGGGACGAGCAGGUUCUUCUGAACCAGGUGUGGUGGGGAAGAGGAAGAUGGAGAGGUCUGGGCUACGUGAUAAGGGGGUGAGCGUAGGGAGGCUGGGGAUUUGGAGUCCCGUUGUCCAGAGGGAAAGGAUGGGACCCUACCUUGAGAGCUUUGGUCACAGUCCCUCCUCCAGGGGUCAUUUUUGCCAGUUAGGACAGGGGCCAGGGGGAGGUCUAGGGCCAGGGCCAGCUCUUGCCCAGUGACCCUUCUACCAUACUAAAGCUCAGCCCAGGUGGUAUUUUUGUCCUAGGUGCUUUGGCCCCUGUGCCUUUAUGGACAGGUGCCUUGCUGGUGGCGCCCUGGCUGUCUGCCGCCUGCAGCUAAUGGCUACCUCUGUCCCUUUUGUUUCUCCAAUUUUUCUUCCUGGUCCUGGUUAUUAAAGACCCUGAAGGCCAGGUUUAGGAGACCCUUUUGUGGGGUUUGAGGGCCUUUGUCUAAUGUUUGGAGUUUAUGUCUCAUAUCUGGAGCAGAUUGGGAGAUAAAAUGCAUAUUUAAACUAAGGUCCCUCGGCCGAGGUGGGUUUAUGGUGAUAUAUUUUAGUAGAGCUUCCAUUAGGCGAGAUAAGAAAUGAGCAGGGUUUCCUCUGGGUUUUGGCUGACAAUUCUUUAAGUUUUUCAUAACUGACCGCUUUCUGACCAGCCUUUCCAAGGCCGUAAGGCAUGAGGUCGCCUGGCCCAGUGACGGCGGCCGGGUGUUCCGGUUUGAUAGUCCCGAUUGGGGUCUUCCCGGGACACUGCCCUGCCGGUGGGUACCAGCAGAUGGGCCUGGGCAGCCGUCCAGACCCUUCCCUUCUCCGGGUUUAAGGUAGGGGGAGAGGAUGACAAACAGGGCCUGCCACGUCAUGUCAUAAGACAGGGUGAAGUGUUCAAAUUCUUUGGUGUAGUCAGUAACUCACAAGGGGGCUAAUAAAGAAAAAGAAUAAAUUAUUAAAUAAAAUGUAAAAAAUCAAAAAGCAAACAAACAACAACAAAACCAAAUUCUUUGGUGUAAGCGGUGGGGUGUGGAGAAGGAACCUAAUCUCUUCUCUAUCUGAGACAGGUCGGACAGAGAGAGAGGGCACGCACCCCAACGAUGCCCUCUGCCUGCCACCUCUCGGAGAGGAAGGGUGGCAGACGUCCCGGCCCGGUCACUUGUGCUGUUCCGGACUAAGUGGCCUCUCUCCUGUGCAAGCUCCCUGCUGAGAUUCCGAAAGAGGAGACUCUGGAGAAUCCAUAGCCCGGAGGCGGGGAACCUCCUGCCUAGGCUGGGACUUCUGAGGGAAGGCAAACCGGAAGCUGAGAGAGAGAGCAGGAAGGAGAGGAGAGGGCAGGAGCCCCUCACCCAGGAGACGGCGCCGCGGGAUGUAAGGCGGCGCGAGUGGCACAUUCAUAAGCAUCUCCCACACAUACUAGCCGGUGACAAAGGGAGACUCCACAACGCCCCUGAGGGGAAGUGGGACAGAUGGCGUGUUCUAGCACGAUGCAAUAAGACACAGGCUGCUCAGGCGUCCAUAACAAAGCACCACGCACCGAGGCUGAAACAACAGGAAUCUACUUCCGUCAGGCUCUGGCGGCUGAGAGUCGCCCAGAUCAAGGUGGCGGCAGGGCUGGUUUCCCCUGAGUCCUCGCUCCUUGGCUUGUAGAUGCCACCUUCUCCCUGUGUCCGCGCAUGGUCGUCCCUCUCUACUGUGUCUGUGUCCUCGUCGCCUCUUCUUACGAUGACGUGAGCCGACUGGACCAGCGUGCAUGCAUUGGCCUUUAUUUGCCCUCCCCAGUCGCCCAAUCUCCAAAUGCUGUCACAUGCCGAGCGAGGUCCUGGGAGUUCCGACUUUUGGGGAGGGACACAAUGCCCAUAAGAGAUGGUAAAACUAACAAACUCCCAACAAGUCCUAUUGCCCAGAAAAUUUAAAACUCUUUUAAACAAUACUUCGGGGGAAAAGGAAAUCGAAAUCCAAGUCACAACGUGUCAGAGCCUCCAGGACAAGAGAUAAAGCAGCGAGCUUUUUUUCUUUUUUGAAGAGAAGAAAAGAUAAAUUUAUUAACUUGCCGGCAAAUGAGGAGGAUGGAGACUCCUGUCUGAAAAACGUCAUUGUCCUACUAAAAAGCAGAAAUACAGAGCUUUUAAAGGGUGCCAUGUAGCUUCAGACAGCUUCUGUUCAGUUGUAAAGUGGUGUUCUUUUCACGUUAAAGGACCAGCCUUUUAUAUUUGAGCAAAAGGAAGAAUAAAAAUAAACCAAAGCAAAACAAAAAACCCAGCCAAGUGCUUUGGUGGGCACCUGAGUUCCCAGCUACUUGGGAGGCUUAGUUGGGAGGAUUGCUUGAGCCCAGGAGUUGAAGGCCAACCUGGACA
Microcebus murinus (gray mouse lemur) is the source of this 3173-nucleotide non-coding RNA. The record is from RefSeq and is a predicted model, not a curated record. Lineage: Eukaryota; Metazoa; Chordata; Mammalia; Primates; Cheirogaleidae.